RNAcentral lists this ribosomal RNA (492 nucleotides) under uncultured bacterium. Its description in RNAcentral is "partial 16S ribosomal RNA". It matches the Rfam family "Bacterial small subunit ribosomal RNA", at positions 29 to 507 of the family's 1533-position model. The record is from RNAcentral.
AGUGAACGCUGGCGGUAGGCCUAACACAUGCAAGUCGAACGGCAGCACGGUAAGAGCUUGCUCUUACGGGUGGCGAGUGGCGGACGGGUGAGGAAUACAUCGGAAUCUACUUUUUCGUGGGGGAUAACGUAGGGAAACUUACGCUAAUACCGCAUACGACCUACGGGUGAAAGCAGGGGAUCUUCGGACCUUGCGCGAUUGAAUUAGCCGAUGUCGGAUUAGCUAGUUGGCGGGGUAAAGGCCCACCAAGGCGACGAUCCGUAGCUGGUCUGAGAGGAUGAUCAGCCACACUGGAACUGAGACACGGUCCAGACUCCUACGGGAGGCAGCAGUGGGGAAUAUUGGACAAUGGGCGCAAGCCUGAUCCAGCCAUACCGCGUGGGUGAAGAAGGCCUUCGGGUUGUAAAGCCCUUUUGUUGGGAAAGAAAAGCAGCAGGUUAAUACCCCGCUGUUCUGACGGUACCCAAAGAAUAAGCACCGGCUAACUUCGUG